Molecule: ribosomal RNA, 241 nt
Filed under: uncultured Staphylococcus sp.
Lineage: Bacteria; Bacillati; Bacillota; Bacilli; Caryophanales; Staphylococcaceae
Description: partial 16S ribosomal RNA
Rfam family: Bacterial small subunit ribosomal RNA
Source: RNAcentral
CGGACGGGUGAGUAACACGUGGGUAACCUACCUAUAAGACUGGGAUAACUUCGGGAAACCGGAGCUAAUACCGGAUAAUAUUUUGAACCGCAUGGUUCAAAAGUGAAAGACGGUCUUGCUGUCACUUAUAGAUGGAUCCGCGCUGCAUUAGCUAGUUGGUAAGGUAACGGCUUACCAAGGCAACGAUGCAUAGCCGACCUGAGAGGGUGAUCGGCCACACUGGAACUGAGACACGGUCCAG